AGCGCAGUCAGAAAAUCAGCACGAGUACUGUCAUUUUUUCUACAAAUAUAUAUUUAUCCAGUCUCCAGAGCAACCAUCUUGAAAGCGACAUCCCAUCGUUAAAUAGUGCUCACCAAAAAACGUCGCUCGUGGAUUAAAUUUGAUACUUUCACUGGCUCACAGAGAAUUACAACACGCGAGUGUAAGAACCUGCAACUAGACUAGGAAAUUCUUUCCCUUUCAAUAGUGGAGACUGGAAGUGAGAGUAGCUGAGUAGACGGGGCUAGUUGUCAGAUUGGUGGAAUGUCAGAAAUGGAGACAAAUGGGAAUUUCGUACUUGAUGAGUUGCAGGAGAGGUUGAAAAUUUUGCAAGAACAAAUUGAUAGUGAGACGAUUGUAAAUGAAGAUGACCAGAAAAAGGAAA
This is a long non-coding RNA of Eupeodes corollae, 403 nucleotides long. RefSeq lists it as uncharacterized. The transcript is spliced from 2 exons. The record is from RefSeq and is a predicted model, not a curated record. NCBI's taxonomy places the organism in Eukaryota, Metazoa, Arthropoda, Insecta, Diptera, Syrphidae.